GCAGCAGCAACAGCGAGGUCGUGACGGGUGCGUCGGCCUGCU
This 42-nucleotide non-coding RNA is filed under the name uncultured marine Prymnesiales. Lineage: Eukaryota; Haptophyta; Prymnesiales. The record is from RNAcentral.